UACAAAUUUCUACCAUCAAUUUGAGAAACAACUUGACAUUAUCUUUAAACCCAUGUCUACUCUAGAAGCAAACAAUUUCAUUCUUAGAGUUGCAUAAUGCCCGGCACAUAGGACACCCUUAUGAAAUGUUUACUGAACAAGAAGACAUCUUAAUAUCCAUGAAAAAAUUGCCUAUGUAAGCGAGGAAACAAAAGAAGACUCUAUACUGAUCCACUGAUCUAUAUAGUAGCCCUUAGGCAAAAGGAAAGUCUUGAUCAAUGUAGCUUUUUAAUAAACUUGAAAUCACAUACGAUUAAUCUGUAAUCCAUUUUUGGAUUGACUGUUACAGAGUGAUCCAGGGCUGUCAUUCUCCACUACAUAAAUGAGUUUUCUGAAAUGAGUUUAAGAAUUUUUGCUCCUCCAUAUUGAUUGUUUUGCCAACUUUAUUGUAUAUUAUGCUUCCAAAUAUAUGUCAGUAUCUCUGUUAUUUAUAAU
Odocoileus virginianus texanus is the source of this 474-nucleotide non-coding RNA. NCBI's taxonomy places the organism in Eukaryota, Metazoa, Chordata, Mammalia, Artiodactyla, Cervidae. The record is from RefSeq and is a predicted model, not a curated record.